Molecule: small RNA, 671 nt
Filed under: Pongo abelii (Sumatran orangutan)
Lineage: Eukaryota; Metazoa; Chordata; Mammalia; Primates; Hominidae
Description: retained intron
Source: RNAcentral
CAGGUGCAACUGACAUGGGUGAACCCCGGGGGUCCAUGCGGAUUCUAGUGACAGGGGGCUCUGGACUGGUAGGCAAAGCCAUCCAGAAGGUGGUAGCAGAUGGAGCUGGACUUCCUGGAGAGGACUGGGUGUUUGUUUCCUCUAAAGAUGCCGAUCUCACGGAUGCAGCACAGACCCGCGCCCUGUUUGAGAAGGUCCGACCCACACACGUCAUCCAUCUUGCUGCAAUGGUGGGGGGCCUGUUCCGGAAUAUCAAAUACAAUUUGGACUUCUGGAGGAAAAAUGUGCACAUCAACGACAACGUCCUGCACUCAGCCUUCGAGGUGGGCGCCCGCAAGGUGGUGUCCUGCCUGUCCACCUGUAUCUUCCCUGACAAGACGACCUACCCCAUAGAUGAGACCAUGCAAUUUUGGGUACUCGUAUGCCAAGAGGAUGAUCGACGUGCAGAACAGGUCCUCACGCCCAUCCUGCUGAGGCCCAGCCAGGAGUGGGGGAGAGGGCCCCCAGGGGCGGGUGAGGCCGGCUGGUCGGGUCUUCGUGCCAGCCUCAGUAAGAGGCCAGCGGCAUCCUGGGGUGGGAUCACGGGCCCAGGACGAGGGCAGGAGACGCUGUGCCUCCGCAGGGCCUACUUCCAGCAGUACGGCUGCACCUUCACCGCUGUCAUCCCCACC